CUCUGACUCCGGCAUCAGCAGUUCUUACUAUCUCUGAAUCAAUUUUGUUGUAUCUGGUUUUAUUGAAUUGACAUUUCUUGUAUCUUCGAUCAGCAUUGUUAAGCUUUUGCAAGAGCAUCAAGCCUUGCCUCAUUGUGGGCCUGCUGUGUUAUCAGAUGACAUGUACUCACUCCAUGGAUCGAAGUAGUUGGUGAGGGGUGACUACAUGGGAGAGGCAUCAAAUUGCUCAAGGAUGGGGAAAUCAGGUUGAAACCACCAAACAGCUACCACACUCAUGCAGCCUACCUAACACUGAG
This is a long non-coding RNA of Stegostoma tigrinum, 296 nucleotides long. RefSeq lists it as uncharacterized. The record is from RefSeq and is a predicted model, not a curated record. NCBI's taxonomy places the organism in Eukaryota, Metazoa, Chordata, Chondrichthyes, Orectolobiformes, Stegostomatidae. The transcript is spliced from 3 exons.